GUAAGACAUGUUGGAGUGUUGCUGCAGCUCCUCGGUUUCCUCCAGCACCUAAGAUCCAGCUCAGACUCUCUGUGCUGUUCUUACCGUUUGUCUACUGGUUAUUCUGCGACCCGUUGUCUUCUGAAUGCAAAGAAUUACUGAAGUGGAACUGAAGGAAACGUUAUUAUCAUCAUUGGACGCACACUCAUCACGGCUGAUAAAGCUGUCCAGAUCACGUGGAGCACUUGGAAAGGACCUCAGGACCGAUCCAUAUAGAUGCCACCUCAAGAGCCAGGUACACGGGCCAACAUACAAAGACAAACAACCAUUCAUGCCUACAAUCAAUCUAGAGAAUCCAGUUACCCAACACCAAUCUACAUGUCUUGGAUGGUGAAAGGAAGCUGUAGUAACUGGUGAAAACCCCCAGAGACACAGAGGACAUGCAAACGCCACACGAAAGGGGGCUCUAGAGAAUGGAGCUGGAUGAGAUAUACUACACACACCUGCUCUCUGUCCCUCUCUGACACAUGGGUUGGAUGCACUUAAUCCGGUGCUCCCAGGAUCCCCUGAACUGGAGCCAGACAAAGAUCAGCUUUACCUGAUAACACAGUUAGGGAUCAAAAACCCAACCCAGAGCUCUCCAUCAAAAAACCUUAUUGAAGGUUCUGCAGUCCUCUAUGUCUGUGUCUCUUUCACAAAACUUGAUUUUUGUGUGUGGCAGACUUCUUCUUGAACUUUCCACUUUGAAACAGAACGUCAGUGUUAUUUAUCUCUGUGAUAUGAUCGUCUUUUCAUGUGCUUUUGUGUAGCCAAUUAACUCUCUCAGUAAUUGACAUUUUUUGCUUGUGAUCUAGUGAGUGUUUCCUCAGAAUUUACCCUCAUUAGCUUCAAAUAGUUAGAAGCUUAUGCAAGUUUAAUGCCCCUAAAAAGUGCUUUGAACUCUACACGUCCUACAUACAGCAAACAAAACAUUUUCUUUUUCCUUUUGGGCAUAUUACACAUUUAUUUGUGUGUGCUUUUAUACAGCAUAUAGAAUAAAUCUAU
This is a long non-coding RNA of Paralichthys olivaceus (Japanese flounder), 1023 nucleotides long. RefSeq lists it as uncharacterized. Lineage: Eukaryota; Metazoa; Chordata; Actinopteri; Pleuronectiformes; Paralichthyidae. The record is from RefSeq and is a predicted model, not a curated record.